Long non-coding RNA from Meriones unguiculatus (Mongolian gerbil), 2384 nucleotides. RefSeq lists it as uncharacterized. Lineage: Eukaryota; Metazoa; Chordata; Mammalia; Rodentia; Muridae. The record is from RefSeq and is a predicted model, not a curated record. The transcript has 3 exons.
UUCUCACUUGCCUCCCCUAGGCUUGAGGCUCCUGUCUCCAUCCAAUUCCAGAGACUUUUGGUGUGCGGAUAUCUCUCAUGUCUGGGUCAUGCCUGGGUGCGGCUCUGAGUCCUCCUCGGGAGAUGGGCUGUGUCUUCCCCUGCAGAACUAUGGAAAGCCAGCAGGGUGGCACAUGUCUUUGGGCAAUGAGUUUCAGGACAGCCUGGUUUACACAGUGACUUCCUGGACAGACAGCACUACACAGGGACAUCCUGUCUCAAGCAAGCAAGCAAGCAAGCAAGCAAGCAAGCAAGCAAGCAAGCAAGCAAACAAAUACAAAAGAUAUGGAAGGAAGGAUAACAUGACUUAGAUUCUGUCGGGAAUCAGGAUCCCUCAAGCACAGCCCGAAGCCGUUCCAGGGAGAAUGCAGUCAGAGUCUCAUCACCCAUGCAAGUCAGAUGGAAGCUGGAUGUCAGCUCACUGCCCUCCUGCAGUCCCGGCUGGCCCAACCGCCUAUGGUAUGCCGGACACCACACAGCAAGCUCCCAGUCCGACCUCCUAUGAUUGAGGGCAGAAGCCACGCGUGCUUAACGCUGUCAGCCCAGAGUCUUUGUACAUUUUAUGGGUCACCCGAGAGCACACUUUGUACCACAGAGUCACAAAUGUUUGCUGAAUGAAUGGCUGGCUGCUGGACACCCUUGUCACCCUUGUCAAGGGUGACCUCUUCCACUGUCAGACUGCCCCCCAGCCUGGGAAAACUCUGCCUCAUGCAAGGACCCCAUCGUGCAGAGUGUGCCCUCCUGGCCCUUGUUACUGGUUGCCUUGUCCCAUGCUGACUGCCUCUGCACUCGAAGAGCGAGGAUCAGAAGAGGUAAGAUGUGUGAAUACCCCAGGAAAUGGAGAAGUUAUUUUAUCUGAAUCCAGCCAUCACUCAAUGAGGCCUCCUGAAGUGAAACCGCUGUGCCAAGCUGCCAGGGGAUACAGAUGUGAAUCUCUGUCUGCUUCGAGGGAGCCAUGGUACACAGGGGAACAAACUCAUUAAGACUAAUUGGAGAGGCGGGAACGCCAUGCCUGAGAAAGAGAAAUGGUGGUCUGUUCUCUUCAAAAAGGAAGCAGCCAGAAUGUAGGCUGGGUCCCAAACACUGGCUGUCCAACUGCUGGCGAGUUGGGCGGAGGUGUUCUUACCCUUUUCUUACCCUUCUUAUUGGGCCAGCGUAAGCUCUGGGAUGAAGCUCAGCAGUGGCAGCGCAGGAAAGCCUCGCCACCUGCUUUCGCCGACUCUCCUGAGAAGGGACAAAACUAAGCAGGAGGGUCCCGGGCAGGCAGAGUGGCUGCCCCCCUGAACGGCAAGGACUCCUUUGAACCUGGCCGGCAUUAUUUACAUACUAUUCACGAUGUGCUAAAUAUCCUUAAAUUGUUUGUUUUCAGAAGCAAGUUCAACACUGGCUCCUGUAAUUUUGUUUACACUAUUAAUUCACUCAGCCAACCAUGUCUUCAUGGAGAGAACGGAGAUAAGCAUGCUGAAUUGCUAUACAACCCAGCAAGCGGAAAGGAUGGUGAAGGAGUCGGGAGAGAAGCAGGCUACACUGGACUCUAGCUAGAUUCCCUUGGAGCCUUACCUCAGACCUGAGUACUACCCAAAAAGGCCCUACCUGAAAACAGAAUGACUGAAUGACUCACUCCUAAGGUCACAGCAUGUAAUAGAUAUCCAAGUGAGAGCCCUUUUGUUUGCUUAUAUAUGUGUGCAUGUAUUUAUUUUUUGUGACAAGAUUUCUCUGUGCAGCCUUGGACUCGCUUAGUAGACCAGGCUGGCUUUGAACUCACAGAGAUCUGUCUGCCUCUGCCUUCCGGAGUACUGGGAUUUACCAGAGUGUGCUACCUCGCCCAGUUGCAAGAUUCCUUUUACAUCUACUGGUAGCAAAGAUCCUAAAAGGAAGAAAAGACUGUGUGUGUGCAGGCAAUAUGCAUGUCACAGCAUGCUUGCGUGUGGUCAGAGGACAACUCUGUGGAGCGGGCUUCGGGACUGAACUCAGGUUGUCAGGCCUUUAAAACAAGAGCGUUUACCUGUUGAGCCUCCACUCAGGCCCAGAUCCAAAACAAAAGGCUGCAGGAGGCCAGGCAGGUACUGCUUUCCGGACUCCUAAGUUUCUUGAACAAGGGCUGCAAGCAUGCUAGGCAAGCUCCCUGCCACUGAGCUACAGCCUUGGAAGUUUCCUGGCUUUUUUUCCCCCCAUGUUAUAUAGCAAAAGUUGGCUUCUAACUCGUGAUCCUCCUGCCUCAGCUUCCCAAGUGCUGGCAUUACAGGCAUGUGUCACCAGCUUUGAGACCUUAAAGGUAAGAAAGGGAAGGCACUAACCUAUGAGGUGGUAGAAAAAAGAAAACACUCCAGGGAUGGAGAUAUACUA